AUGGAUGUCUUUAGGCUUCUCUAGAAUCUUCUACACUCCACCAAUAAAGAUGUGUAGAUGACUCCACAUAAUUACAAACUUCCUACUCUCCUUUAAAAGCUAAGCAAUGGUUAUUUUGAGCAGGUUGUGAUAUUAUGCUUUGGAUACAUUAGAAAGGAAUAACAUCAUAGGAUUUCGGUCCUAUUAUGUUGACCUCGAAGAUCGAAGUAAUGAUUAUUAGAGAUAAUCAGGGGCAUUUGUAUUUAAUAGUCGAGAUGAAUUUUUAGAUUCAUGAAAGACAUAUAACUACGAAAUCAUUUUCCAAGGAUUUUUUCAUUAAUCAAAAACGAAAGUUGGGAGCUUAAAGACAAUUAGGUAUCAUCCAAGUCUCAACCAUAU
RNAcentral lists this non-coding RNA (378 nucleotides) under Vitis vinifera (wine grape). Its description in RNAcentral is "Eukaryotic small subunit ribosomal RNA". It matches the Rfam family "Eukaryotic small subunit ribosomal RNA", at positions 642 to 1035 of the family's 1831-position model. Lineage: Eukaryota; Viridiplantae; Streptophyta; Magnoliopsida; Vitales; Vitaceae. The record is from Rfam by way of RNAcentral.